This 484-nucleotide ribosomal RNA is filed under the name uncultured bacterium. Its description in RNAcentral is "bacterial SSU rRNA". It matches the Rfam family "Bacterial small subunit ribosomal RNA", at positions 28 to 507 of the family's 1533-position model. The record is from RNAcentral.
GAUGAACGCUAGCGACAGGCCUAACACAUGCAAGUCGAGGGGCAGCACAAAGUAGCAAUACUUGGUGGCGACCGGCGCACGGGUGAGUAACACGUAUGCAACCUACCUGUAAGCGGGGAAUAACCCGGAGAAAUUCGGACUAACACCGCAUAAUACUGAAUUACUGCAUGGUUUUUCAGUUAAAUAUUUAUAGCUUACAGAUGGGCAUGCGUAUGAUUAGAUAGUUGGUAGGGUAACGGCCUACCAAGUCAACGAUCAUUAGGGGUUCUGAGAGGAAGGUCCCCCACACUGGUACUGAGGCACGGACCAGACUCCUACGGGAGGCAGCAGUGAGGAAUAUUGGUCAAUGGGCGAGAGCCUGAACCAGCCAAGUCGCGUGAAGGAAGAAGGUUCUAUGGAUUGUAAACUUCUUUUGUAAGGGAAUAAAAAGAGUACGUGUACUCUAUUGUAUGUACUUUACGAAUAAGGAUCGGCUAACUCCGUG